This 383-nucleotide ribosomal RNA is filed under the name uncultured eukaryote. Its description in RNAcentral is "partial 18S ribosomal RNA". It matches the Rfam family "Eukaryotic small subunit ribosomal RNA", at positions 592 to 976 of the family's 1831-position model. The record is from RNAcentral.
CAAUAGCGUAUAUUAAAGUUGUUGCAGUUAAAAAGCUCGUAGUUGGAUUUCUGGUGGGAGCGAACGGUCUGGCGCUUAGCGCGAGUACUUGCAUCGUCUCCGGCCAUCCUUGGGGAGAGUCUGUCUGGCAUUAGGUUGUCGGGCAGAGGAUCCUCAUCGUUUACUGUGAAAAAAUUAGAGUGUUCAAAGCAGGCUUAUGCCGUUGAAUAUAUUAGCAUGGAAUAAUAAGAUAGGACUUUGGUACUAUUUUGUUGGUUUGCGCACCAAAGUAAUGAUUAAUAGGGACAGUUGGGGGUAUUCGUAUUCCGUUGUCAGAGGUGAAAUUCUUGGAUUUACGGAAGACGAACUACUGCGAAAGCAUUUACCAAGGAUGUUUUCAUUAA